GCUACUAUUGAGAUUAGUAAAAAAAAUUAGCGGGCAUUUUUUUUGGUUUUUCCCGCACAACAUUGGAAAUCUUUUCAGCUUGCCCCAAAACUCUUCUGCGUAACCUUCUCUCCCCAAACCUUCUCUCACCAAACUUCUGCCGAACCUUCUCUCGCCAAAUUUUCGCCGAACCUUCUCUUACGCCGUCAACCCUCUCUCACGCCGUCAAAUCUCUCUCACGCCGUCAAACACAGCCACAUACUCUUCUCUAAUCGUAGGCUCAGAGACCGUACCGGAAAGAGGAAACCACCUGAGACCGUACCGGAGUUGAAGUAUUCGCCGGAAUCUUCGAAGAUUUAUUUGAAGUUGUUGAUCGAAGAGCGAAGCUGGUUGCCAGUGACAUAGCGGAAGAAUAAUUUGAUUCCAAGUCUCCAGGAAAACAAGAAGCGGUUAUUUUGCCAACUAAAUGAUUGUACUUGUGGGCUGAUGCUUUUGGUUCGUGAAGAAUUGGAGAAUUACUUGGUGCUGUUUUGUUGUCGUUUCUUGUUUUUUAGGUGUUUUAUUUAGAGAAUAUGACUUGUUAUUUUGGGAUUUGGAUUAAAGUACUCUUAGAUGGAAUGCAUGUAUCUAUAAAUUUGGCUAUGCAAAUGCCCUCUUAUUUUUAAGUACACUAAAUACCCUCUAUAUAUGUUAUGAUAUAUUUAUAAAUAAGAGGAUUUGGUUUAAAAUGUUAUUUGAUAUUUGAGUAACUUAAAAGCGUCAUUUGGUAUUGAAUUGAAUGUGGUUUUUUUAUAUUUGCACACUAAUAGAAUGAUUUUAUGUACAGCAAAUAAAAAAAAGGUUUACCAUAUAUUAGCGCUUUCUUUGAGAGUGCUAUCAAAAGUGAGUUAUAUAUUAGCGCUUUCUUUGAAAGUGCUAUAAAAAAUGAGUCAUAUAUUAGCGCUUUCUUUAAAAGUGCUAUCAAACAUGGGUCAUAUAUUAGCGCUUUUAAUGAAAGCGCUAUCAAACAUGAGCCCUUUAAUAGCACUUAGUUUGAAAUUGCUGUCAAAAUCACAUAAAAACACACGCAAAAUGCAUACUUCAAUAGCG
Vicia villosa (hairy vetch) is the source of this 1068-nucleotide long non-coding RNA. RefSeq lists it as uncharacterized. Lineage: Eukaryota; Viridiplantae; Streptophyta; Magnoliopsida; Fabales; Fabaceae. The transcript has 3 exons. The record is from RefSeq and is a predicted model, not a curated record.